GGGGGCGUACUGGUUUCGACGGGGGUAAGACGUGUUUGAGUAGCGAGUCGAAGGUCUCCUGUACCUGCGUUAAAAAAACGGGAAUUAAAUAUAAACGCAAACGAAAAUAACAAUUUAGCAUUAGCAGCUUAGUCUGCAUGCCGUCAGCCUAAGAGUACCGCGGCUUAGGAUCUGGCGUCGACAGCGGUGAAACGAGCCUGAGUAAGCUUUGCCUCAGGAACGGGAUUUAUGAAGCUACUGAAGCUUGAACCCUGUCAGUAGGGGGCAAGCAGAGGGAAUGUGAAAAUACUGACUGCACUCGGAGAAGCUCAGGCAUUGCUGCCUUCGGACAGGGGUUCGAUUCCCCUCGCCUCCAUCU
This is a non-coding RNA of Clostridium sp. N3C, 358 nucleotides long. It matches the Rfam family "transfer-messenger RNA". From Rfam's summary of the family: Bacterial tmRNA, also known as 10Sa RNA or SsrA, is named for its dual tRNA and mRNA-like properties. Its role is to liberate the mRNA from a stalled ribosome. To accomplish this part of the tmRNA is used as a reading frame that ends in a translation stop signal. The record is from Rfam. NCBI's taxonomy places the organism in Bacteria, Bacillati, Bacillota, Clostridia, Eubacteriales, Clostridiaceae.